GACAAAGUAAGCUAAUAAAUUAAGCUUUUGGAUUCAUAUUUCAAGAAUGGAAGGGUAAAAACCUCUCUUUGUUU
Molecule: transfer RNA, 74 nt
Filed under: Asthenactis papyraceus
Lineage: Eukaryota; Metazoa; Echinodermata; Asteroidea; Spinulosida; Pythonasteridae
Description: tRNA-Met
Source: RNAcentral